RNAcentral lists this long non-coding RNA (5763 nucleotides) under Lynx pardinus (Iberian lynx). Lineage: Eukaryota; Metazoa; Chordata; Mammalia; Carnivora; Felidae. The record is from RNAcentral.
UUCUAGAUCCAAAUCCUGUCUUCACUGGCUUCAGGAUGGAAAAGGUCAUUAUGGAUGGGGACGAAGGAGGCUCACUUGUGGAUCAAAUCUAAGAGGUAUGUGGAACAGGGAGAGAGAGAGAGAGAAGCCAGGGACCAUCUCCAUGGAGGAAUGAUCUUUGAGCUAAUUCUAGAUUGAUGGUCAGAUUUGAAUUAGUUCUAUGGGAAUAUGUGACAGGAGGUAAGGAUGAGGCAGAGGCAGUGGUGUGUGUAAAGGUCCUGGAGAUAAGUCUGAUAAGAAGGCUCAACCAAGCCUCUGGAAAAUUAGGAUACAAACCCAUGUCUCUUGAAAAGAGUGGUCUUCCCCCUGUCCCUCAAAGUUGAGUUCUCUAGAUAAUUUCUUCAAUUUUGUGGCUAGUACCUACCUAGGCUAGGCAUAUGUUAGUAAUCAAAUGUAGAUUCUUUAUCUUAUAUUUAGGUAGGUAGGUAACAAUCUGUGUGAAUUCCAUCCCUUCCCUCCUUUCCUUGUAGGCUUUUAUCAAGGUGUGUGUGUGUGUGCGCACGCACGGAUCUUUACAUUUAUUUGUCUAUCUUGCCCAGAUAUAAAUGAAGAUCACAAGAUUUGUUUUUCAUAAAAGCUUUGAGAUUCUGAAGGGUUACUCCCAAUGGUGAAUGUGCAGCUAGUAUAAAGGCAACAUGGCCAGCCAGAAGGAGGUCAGAGUUUGGAGUUAAAUGCCUGGGGACAAGGUUCAACUUUGCGAUUGCUGACUUGUGACUUUGGGCAAGUCACUUAACCUCUCUGAGCCUCAGUGUCCUCCCUUCCAACUCUGGGGUGACAAUUAAAUUAUUUGCCUCAUUUGCCUCAUAGAAGUAUGCAUGUGAGGGGAUCUGUCUGAAAGAGAUUCAAAAAUUAUAAGGCACUUGGUCAAUAUCAGGCAUUAUUGUUAUCGAAUAAGUGUACCCUUAAAAAAUGUUACUGGUUACUGGAAGUAGGUGCUGUAAGUGUGGAUGAGACCCUCCCAGGCUCAAUGUCACUUGAAAGUUUACAAUAACGUAUUUCAAAUAUGGUGGCAAUGUAACAGCCAGACAUUCAAACAUUUCUGAAAGCAAUGGAAAUUUACAUUAUGUUGCAGGUUUAUCAUUGACGUGGCAAGCAAUUCAAUGUAGAAAUAUUGCGAACGAGAAAGUCAGUCCCCAAAUAAAGACUGGUAAAACCUUGUGAUUUAUAGCAAGAAAGAUAUCAAAGUGAAUUUUCCUGGGAUAUUCCUGGGUAGCUCAUUUUGUAGUAUGUUUGGAAAUGAUCUAACAUUAAAAUCACUUUUCGGGAGAUAGUAAUAAACUUUCUCAAAAAGUCUUAUAUAACCAGGAAGUAGCUCGCGUAACUGGGAGGAAAUGCAAACACAUUUUAUAUGUAACAGAAGAUUCUCUCUCAGACAUCAGUUUUACAACCUGACAAAUCUAAAAAUGCACAUCCAGGUCAGUACGAAAAACAUUAGUGAGAUCUUUUUGCUAUAAAAAAAAUGACUUUCGGGGCGCCUGGGUGGCGCAGUCGGUUAAGCAUCCGACUUCAGCCAGGUCACGAUCUCGCGGUCCGUGAGUUCGAGCCCCGCGUCAGGCUCUGGGCUGAUGGCUCGGAGCCUGGAGCCUGUUUCUGAUUCUGUGUCUCCCUCUCUCUCUGCCCCUCGCCCGUUCAUGCUCUGUCUCUCUCUGUCCCAAAAAUAAAUAAACGUUGAAAAAAAAAAUUUAAAAAAAAAUGACUUUCUAGAGACUCAGAUCGGGUUCGUAUUAAAGAGGACAGGGAUGAGUAUAUUCAGACAACACAAGCCCAGAAAACGUUUGGGGUAGUACAAACUGGCUUAUUGAUGAGUGACCGGGAAUUAGACUAUAGGAUCGGAACCAUAAUUAACAUCUGGAGAAGUAUAAAACCAUAAACCAUUUUAGACCAAGGUAGAUUUGUUUUGUUCUCUUCUGUUUUUCCUUCUUUCCUAUUUCUGUCAUGCCAGUUGGAACACUUCCCCCCCCCACCUUUACUCUUGAGACCCUCAUGAAUGAAAUGAAAACAAAUAUUAAAAGACUAUAGAGGAACAACACAAGUGGCUUUGGAAAUGGACCAACCUCAAGUGGUUGUAUUCAUUGGCUUGCUGGUCAAUACCUCCGUCAGCUGGUGCAUGUAGGAAGCUAAGGAAUGCUUUCUUGUCGACUUGGGAGAUCAAAGUUUUGGAUCUUGAAAAGACAAGACGUUUGGAGCGGGGGAUGGUGCGACCCAUUUAAAAAUGGCCAAUACAUUGUAGGGCUGCCUUCGGCCACCCAAGAGGAGAAAUCGAGUUGGUGUUCCGCCAACGAUUCGUGGAGCUGAAGGGAUACAUCAUGGUCAGCUGACCACGGAGGCUCCCGGGGUGGGGUGGGGGGGGCACAACGUCGCCACGGGGCACUUUGCUACAGUGCCCCGGGGGUCUUUACCGAUCCUGAGAGCCAGCCACCUCAUCCACCCCAGAGCGGUCCAGUAGCUAGAUGGCUCUUGAAUAUCACAAGCUGGCUUGAGCAAUUCGGUUUUUUUCCUCUUUAGUAGAAAGUCUUUUGCCUUGGGAGGUGAGCCCACAGGGAGGGGUUACUUAGCUCGAGCCUCAAAAUGCACACACUGCAUCUUUAAGAAAUAGUUUACUUGUGAAUCAGUAAACGUACUAGACAAAGCGGCCAUUACUUAUGCAUUCCUGCAGACCCUGCAAGGUGAAAAUAAUAGAAUAAACAUCAUAUACUUCAUUAUGAUAUCGGUUUACACUUCCAGGACACACAAAAAGAGGCCAUUUCAUCAAGCUAAUUGCCUGAAAGUAAAAGAGAGAGAACUUUAGCUAUUAGUCUAUUAUGGGGCUUUUUUCUUAAUCACAAAUAGGGGCCGUGUGUCCCUGGGGGGAUGUGUAUUCUAAUUUACAAUUGAACUACAGAUCAGAGCAAUCAAUCUUGGGUAGCACUUUUACAGUGUAAUUGCUACAACAAUAACAAAUACAAAAAAAAAAAAAAAAAGGAGAAGAAGAAGAAGGAGAAGAAGACGAAGAAGGCCUAGUUGAGCUUCAGCUUGAGGUGGAGAUAUUUCCAGGCACUAGCUCAGGGUGGGAGGGAGAAAAGAACCACAGCAAACAUGAAUAUGCAAUGAGGGCUCAUUAGCGGCCUAGUGUUGCCAUGACGAAUGGCAUUAUCCCCGGCCUGGUGCUGCCUAAACAUGAAUUUUAUAACGACCCAUUUAUCAUGACUUGUCAUGAGCUUCUGUACUGUACUUUCUUCCAGCUCACACACCUUUCCCUAUUAUGACGGUAAAAUCUUUCCCUUUCCUAUUAUUGUUUCCUUUUGUAUUGACUCCUGGCUCUCCGAAGCGAGCACUCGACUACAGCAACAUGCUAAUGGGUGAUUUGUGACUUCAAAAAGGCGAAGAAACAAAAACUCGAUCGGUCAUCCCCCCGCCCGCCCAGUGGUCAUAUAAUUGAGCACAAAGUUAGACUAAACUUUUCAAGACAUUUCUUUAUAUGGGAGCUUUCGUUUUACCGGAGCAUUCUGACACCGCAGAUACAUUACGAAUUUUAAAUGAACCGCAUCGCCUUCCUUUCAUUAGUUUCAUUCCCAUUUGUUUGUUUGUUUUGUUUUGUUUUAUCCUGUGGAAACCUUUCGAUAUCUUAAAAGUAGAAUUCAAAAUUGGAGGUAUUUUCCGAAGAUCUCGGAGCUAUGACAAAAAGGUGUAAGAUUGAAAUGCUGGAAAGGUGUUUUGGUGCUUAGCAUUUUACAGGGGUGUGAGCUGAUUUCUCACUUAGACACGCUUUUACAUUGUGGGGAGGAAGGUUGGCGUGUUUUUCCAUGACAACUUUCCAGGACAUACGUUUUAUUAAUAGUAAAAGACAAAACAAAACAUGGAAGCAAUGUUCCUUGAUAGAAACCGUGAGGUCUGUCUGAAUAUUCGGCAGGAUGCGAAACUGCCAUAUGCAAAGGCUGGAGUCUUUGCCAUUGGCCAAGAGGGUGUGUGAGCUGCCUCAAAGUUAAGGCCAACAGUUCGUCAAGGUUAUGGUUCCCGAUUGGCAGAAGUGCCCUAAUUGUAAUACAGACCCAGCCAGUGGGAUCUAUGAAUAAUCUAUUUAGUGACCAUAAAGAGAGUAGUACUAAAACGAUUUCUCAGUUCAACCAGGUGAAGUUCAGGAAGGACACAGGAGCGCAGGGGAGGAGAAUCUGGCGUUGUUUUGCACACCCAGGGGUUAUGGUCAUUCCUGUAUCCAAUUUGUAAACAGUAAAUUGUUGGCCAGAUCUUUUUUUUUUUUAAUUAAUUUAUUUAUUUGAGAGCGAGAGAGAGAGAGCUCUAGCACGCGCACGCACACAAGUGGGGGAGGGGCAGAGAGGAGAGUCCAAAUCCCCAACAGGUUCCAUGCCAUCAGUGCAGAGCCCAAUGAGGGGCUCGAGCUCAAGAACUGUGAGAUCUGACCUGAGCUGAGAUCAAGAGGUGGAUGUUUAACCGACUGAGCCACCCAAGCGCCCCUAGCUGGCCAGAUCUUUUUUGAGUGUGGCUGUCUCUCUUGUGCCCCUGGAUUCCACAUUAACAGUCACGAUACUUUUAUGUAAUAAUAUUUAAACAAUAAUAUGUAAACUUCAUGGUAAAAUAUUUUAUUUAAAAAAAUUUUUUUCAUGUUUUAUUUAUUUUUGAGACAGAGAGAGACAGAGUAUGAACGGGGGAGGGUCAGAAAGAGAGGGAGACACAGAAUCCGAAACAGGCUCCAGGCUCUGAGCCGUCAGCACAGAGCCCGACGCGGGGCUCGAACCCACGGACCGUGAGAUCGUGACCUGAGCCAAAGCCGGACGCUUAACCGACUGAGCCACCCGGGUGCCCUGGUAAAAUAUUUUAAAUGUUGAUGAUCAUGUGCAUUUGCAGUUGUGGUUCCAGAGUUCUUUCAUGAGAUCCUCAGCUUUAUUGGGGGCAGGGUUAUUAUUUCCGUUUUAAAGAGGUAAAAAUCGAGGCUCAGAGCUUAAGUGACAAACUCAGGGUCACACAGAACACGAAGGUGCUGAGGCUCACCAAGGCUUUACCUUGCUAGUGCUUCUCUAACCCAAAGUCACCAGAGCAGAAAUCGUUCCCAAUGUGUCAUCUCUUAUGGGACCUGGCAGCAAGGGAGUGAGUUUGGGGAAGGAGCCCGUUGAAAAGAUGGCCGCCAUUUGCACUUGAGAGCUGGUUAUUCCCAACGACUUACCAGAAUCGAAGUUAGCACGCACAUGUCAAUUAAAAUUCCAUCCAUUUAAGCUGUAUUAUUUUUCAUCAUUAAAAAAUGCAGAUAGGAAACGUUCUUCAACCUAGAGACUUGGGCACCGUUCUGGCUGGUGUUCCUGUAUUUUGAGUCCGUUGAGGACUCAGUAUUUUCUGAAGAAAAUAUCUUUGUGUUUUCUCCUAUGAAUGAAUUAAACAGGACUGUUAGACAUGAUUUGGUGGGGAAGGGCCUCAAAUAUUGGCGAACGAUAUUAAAGAACGUUGUGAUUAUGACUGAGCAGAUUAAGACCGUGUCUAUACGACAGCAAACAUCUGGAGCUUUAAAAACAUCUGGGUUUUUGACUCUUAUUUAUCUGGUGGUUGGCAUCAUGGACAGAAAGGGGGAAAAAGAAUUUAAUGCUCUUACUGCUGAAUUAGACACAAUUUUUAUAUUUAGUUAAUCUGCAAAUAUUAACUAAUUAUUCUAUUUAACAUAACAUUUAAUGGAGAAAAUUUUUCCACCAGGCCAGUAAAUACCGAGAGAAAGAUGUAAUUAGGUGAUUUAAGAAAAAA